Small nuclear RNA from Octodon degus (degu), 104 nucleotides. NCBI's taxonomy places the organism in Eukaryota, Metazoa, Chordata, Mammalia, Rodentia, Octodontidae. The record is from Ensembl.
GUGCUAGCUUCGGCAGAACAUACACUAAAAUUGGAACAAUCCAGUGAGUAACAUGGCCUCUGUGCAAGGGUCACAGGCACACUCAUGAGGCAUUCCAUAUUUUA